CCGAAAAAGAAAAUGGACCAAAACAUAAUCUAAUAGUAGAAAUUACCUGUAGUAUGGAUUUUUAUUAAAUGUUUAGAUAAAUAUGGAUAAAUUUUAAUUUUAGGUAAAUUAUGGUAUUUUUCUAUUUUAAAUUAUUAUGUGGGUUUUCUUUUCCAUAUUUUUAACUUUUUUUUUUAUAUUUUCCAGAAAAUCAUUUUCUCUCUUACCUCUUUGUCUUCUCCACCACUAUUGUUUUUCUUCACCUCUCUGUCUUCUCUUCACCAUUGUUCCAUCUUCACCAUUGUUUUCUCUCUUACCUCUUUGUCUUCUCCUCCACCAUUUCUCUUCACCAUUGUUCCAUCUUACCUGAAGAGGAGGCAUCGAUUUACGCCGUCGAAGCGAAAACAGGAGCCUAUAAAACAUCGUGAGGUCCCGUCGUCCCUCUGCGUCCUCUGACCCCUUUUCUUCGGACAGCUACCUCUGCCCUCUCCUCUGGUUAGUUUUCUUGCUUCUACUUUUCAUGGAACUGUUCAACUAUUACUCAAUGCUCUGCAAGUGUUUGAUAAAAUGUUUUAAAAGACCCCAAGAAAAAUAAUAUGCUUCUGCAUUGAAUAUCCCUUCUUCUCUACUCAAAGUUGACCCAAGCCAUCACUUUCAUGUCUUUGCAUUUAAAUUGUAUUUUGUACCUAACAUUUCAUAACCAUGAUAAAUUUAAAGCUUCUCUGAGUUUAACUUUCAAUAUAAGUGUACAGGAUUUAGUUUAUAGCUUGUAGAGCACACUUAUCAAUCAUUUAAUCGCGAAAACAUUUUUAUUAUGUAACCUUCCCUUUGUUGGGUAACCAACAUGUAUGGUUGUGAUUUUCCAAGUCAUGCAAUUAGCAUUUGAUUAUACCUUUUAAUCUGAAUGUUUCUAUUUCAGGGUUGGGUAACACUACAAUUGACCCGAGAUCCCACCUUUGCAAGAGGAUUCUUGUCUGCUAGAUCCGUCACUAGGUUUCUUUCAGAUGUUUAUUCUGUAGCUGCUGAUGAAGUUGGGAAAAUUUUUGUUAUUGCUGAUGAAAGGGCAGAUCUUAGCAAACCAGAGAUAAUUCCUGUAACGUUGGUUGGCAUUCACACUGUUAUUGAUUGUGCCACAGGGCGCCCAGAAGAGCCUAUAAAGACGGUCAUUAAUCAUAUUUAGAGAAUGUCUUCAUCUGAUUUUGAAUCUCCGAAGAAAACAUCUAAAAAUACGCAAUCCCCUUCUUCUACUCGUGGUGUGAAAAGAAAGUGCAUUGGUGAAACAUCUAAAUGGAACAAGGUUUUUUCUAAUUAUUCUCUUAAAUGACUGUGGUGCAUUUGUGAUUGCUUUUGCUGAUCACAUAAUUCAUGACACCAUAAAUGGCAUAUCUCCUAAACUCAACAUUGCCAAUUAUCGUGAUGACCUUGUUGUUUGUCUUUACCAUCAUGCUAAAAAGAAGCAAGAGGAUGGGUACAAGACUGAUGUAGAGGAACCUGAAAAGCCUGAGAAAACGAAGAAGAAGACUGAUGUAGAGGAACCUGAAAAGCCCGAGAAGGAAAA
Molecule: RNA transcript, 1537 nt
Organism: Cannabis sativa
Lineage: Eukaryota; Viridiplantae; Streptophyta; Magnoliopsida; Rosales; Cannabaceae
Gene name: DEAD-box ATP-dependent RNA helicase 3, chloroplastic-like
Exons: 4
Source: RefSeq, a predicted model, not a curated record